AUGGAUACAGCUGGGCAUUUCGGUGAUUUGUUAUGGAUGCCUCACAGCCAGCAGAAAAUAUCAAAAGCUUGGGAAAAUCCUGACAAUUGCUUGAAUGUGUGGUGUCAUCGUGUUGGCAUCCCAUUUGAUCCUUUGUGUAGCUCAACUUUAGAGAACCUAGGUUUUUACCAGAUUGCAAUGAUGAAGAAAAUCAAUGUCGAUAAAUAUUUGAUAUCGGCAUUGGUCAAGCGCUGGCGGCCUGAGACAAAUAGUUUUCACUUACCUGUAGGUGAAAUGACAGUUACGCUGCAAGAUGUGAGUUGUUUGUGGGGGUUGUCUAUCCAUGGUAAACAACUUAUUGGCAAAGAUGAUGCAUCAUGGUCUUAG
RNAcentral lists this ribosomal RNA (366 nucleotides) under Triticum aestivum (bread wheat). RNAcentral describes it as "partial small subunit ribosomal RNA". The record is from RNAcentral. Lineage: Eukaryota; Viridiplantae; Streptophyta; Magnoliopsida; Poales; Poaceae.